Molecule: transfer-messenger RNA, 371 nt
Filed under: uncultured Limosilactobacillus sp.
Lineage: Bacteria; Bacillati; Bacillota; Bacilli; Lactobacillales; Lactobacillaceae
Rfam family: transfer-messenger RNA
About the family: Bacterial tmRNA, also known as 10Sa RNA or SsrA, is named for its dual tRNA and mRNA-like properties.
Source: RNAcentral
GGGGAUGUUUUUGGAUUCGACGGGUAUAGGUCGAGUUCUAAUUGCGUUUGAAGGUGGCGCUUCUAAAAACGCUCAGUUUUAAAUUAUAACUGCAAACAAUAAUUCACAAUCAUACGCCCUCGCUGCCUAACCGGUAAGCGGACGUAAAUCCGAACCGGGCUCGUCCAUGGUGCGGUUUCGGGUUUCAUUAAUUAGUGGACUACGUUGUUAGCCUCAGCUGGUGGUUAGCAAAAGAGAUUUCCCAGCUCGCUUAGCAUGCUUGCCUUGAUUAGCGGCGUUUUGGUAGGUUAAAUUUUAAAUAGUUAAUCUAUGAGCGUAGAUGUUAGGAUGGCGAUAUGCUCGGACAGGGGUUCGACUCCCCUCAUCUCCAU